RNAcentral lists this unclassified non-coding RNA (709 nucleotides) under Hevea brasiliensis (rubber tree). Lineage: Eukaryota; Viridiplantae; Streptophyta; Magnoliopsida; Malpighiales; Euphorbiaceae. The record is from RNAcentral.
GGGGGUUGUUGUUAAGCAUAGUACUGCAAUAUCAAUGGAAAAUAUAAUUUUAAAAUAAAAUACAACAACAAAAACAUCAAAUAUAGAUAAUCUCUAACACUAUGUUUUAGAUCAUGGUUUCAUAAUAUAUCGUAAGGUUUUCCUCCUUGUUUGUUUUGUUUAUUCUUGAAAAAGGAUGAUUUUGGAUUGUAAAAUGAUGAUUUCCUAACCAUCACUUCACCAUAGGUUUCAAUCCAUCAAAUCAGUGGUUCGAGAUGAUUUAAAAUUUUUAUAUUAACAUUUUAUCCUCAUACAAUUUCUAAAAUUUUAAUUAUUAUCGUAUUCUUUAAACUAUUUAGAUAUUUAAAACAUUAACAACGGUGGGUAUUUUAGUAAUCUCUAUAUUUAUUUUACUGAACCAUACCAUACCCAUCUUUCCAAACAUGUUAAAAAUAAAAACUAGACUAUACAAUAGUAUACAUUAAUAAAUUAAUAACCACGUUGCCCUCAAUCCCAUUGUAAAAACAUGAAAAUUUUCAAAUGCAUGUUAAAAGAAAAACAUACCAAUAUCACUCAAACCAGUUUCACUUUGGGAAUUGAGAAAUUCAGCAAAAAACCAAGAACAUUAUUCACUGACAAGCAUUAGACACUUAAUUCAACAACAAAUCACAGCCGAAUUACCAAAAAAAGAAAAAGCGAUUAAACAUAAUUUAAGCGAUAACUCACUGGA